CAGCCGCCGCGGUAAUACCGGCGGCCCGAGUGGCGGUCACUAUUAUUGGGCUUAAAGCGUCCGUAGCCGGGUUGGGAAGUCCUCCGGGAAAUCUGGCCGCUUAAAGGUCAGAAUGCCGGAGGAUACUCCCAGCCUAGGGAGCGGGAGAGGCCGAGGGGAUUCCCGGAGUAGGGGUGAAAUCCUAUAAUCCCGGGAGGACCACCUGGGGCGAAGGCGCUCGGCUGGAACGCGGCCGACGGUGAGGGCCGAAGGCCAGGGGAGCAAACCGGAUUAGAUACCCGGGUAGUCCUGGCGGUAAACGAUGCGGACUUUGUGUCGGACAAGCUAUGAGCUUGUCCGGUGCCGGAGGGAAACCGUUAAGUCCGCCGCCUGGGGAGUACGGCCGCAAGGCUGAAACUUAAAGGAAUUGGCGGG
This 414-nucleotide ribosomal RNA is filed under the name uncultured microorganism. Its description in RNAcentral is "bacterial SSU rRNA". It matches the Rfam family "Archaeal small subunit ribosomal RNA", at positions 459 to 872 of the family's 1478-position model. The record is from RNAcentral.